RNAcentral lists this long non-coding RNA (302 nucleotides) under Lathyrus oleraceus (garden pea). Its description in RNAcentral is "Pisum sativum (pea) long non-coding RNA (PSAT_LNC028973)". Lineage: Eukaryota; Viridiplantae; Streptophyta; Magnoliopsida; Fabales; Fabaceae. The record is from RNAcentral.
GGUAAUGAGAAACUUCUCAAUGAAAGGUUAAUAAGAAAGAAUGGAUAGGAUCUCUCAUACAAAAGGCAAUGAGAAACUUCUCAACGAAAGGUUAAGAAGAAAGAUGAAUGAGAUUUAUCAUACGAAAGACAAUGAGAAACUUCUCAAUAAAAGGUUAAGAAGAAGGCUAGCAAGGAUUUCUCCUACAAAAGGUAAUGAGAAACUUCUCAACGAAAGGUUAAGAAGAGGGAUGAAAGGGAUGGUUAUCUCAUACCAAAGGUAGAAACUGAUCCUUAUCAAGAGAAGAUCUCCAAUGCAAAAGG